This 253-nucleotide ribosomal RNA is filed under the name uncultured bacterium. Its description in RNAcentral is "partial 16S ribosomal RNA". It matches the Rfam family "Bacterial small subunit ribosomal RNA", at positions 524 to 776 of the family's 1533-position model. The record is from RNAcentral.
UACGUAGGGUGCGAGCGUUGCCCGGAUUUAUUGGGCGUAAAGGGCGCGUAGGCGGUCACGCACGUCCGUUGUGAAAACUCGGGGCUUAACCCCGAGCCUGCAGUGGAUACGGGCAGACUAGAGGUAGGUAGGGGAGAAUGGAAUUCCCGGUGUAGCGGUGAAAUGCGCAGAUAUCGGGAGGAACACCGGUGGCGAAGGCGGUUCUCUGGGCCUUACCUGACGCUGAGGAGCGAAAGCGUGGGGAGCAAACAGG